GCUGGGCGUGGUGGUGAAUGCCUGUAAUCCCAGCGGCUCUGGAGGCUGAGACAGGAAGAUCGCAAGUUCAAAACCUGUCUCAGCAACAGCAAGGUGCUAAGCAACUCAGUGAGACCCUGUCUCUA
Molecule: small RNA, 125 nt
Filed under: Marmota monax (woodchuck)
Lineage: Eukaryota; Metazoa; Chordata; Mammalia; Rodentia; Sciuridae
Source: RNAcentral